RNAcentral lists this microRNA precursor (96 nucleotides) under Nicotiana sylvestris (wood tobacco). Its description in RNAcentral is "MIR6152 microRNA precursor family". It matches the Rfam family "MIR6152 microRNA precursor family". The record is from Rfam by way of RNAcentral. Lineage: Eukaryota; Viridiplantae; Streptophyta; Magnoliopsida; Solanales; Solanaceae.
UGGACAGAUUAUUGUAUUCGACUGUAUUCACAACAUGAAAUAGAGGAUGGCUCUGUUUUUAAAUGAAAAGUGAAUCAAUUAACAUAAUAGACUUCU